RNAcentral lists this non-coding RNA (23 nucleotides) under Arabidopsis thaliana (thale cress). The record is from RNAcentral. Lineage: Eukaryota; Viridiplantae; Streptophyta; Magnoliopsida; Brassicales; Brassicaceae.
UGAGAUUCAGCCCUUUGUCGCUA